Molecule: ribosomal RNA, 497 nt
Filed under: uncultured bacterium
Lineage: Bacteria
Description: partial 16S ribosomal RNA
Rfam family: Bacterial small subunit ribosomal RNA
Source: RNAcentral
GAUGAACGCUGGCGGCGUGCCUAAUACAUGCAAGUCGAGCGAACAGAUGAGGAGCUUGCUCCUCUGACGUUGGCGGCGGACGGGUGAGUAACACGUGGAUAACCUACCUAUAAGACUGGGAUAACUUCGGGAAACCGGAGCUAAUACCGGAUAAUAUAUUGAACCGCAUGGUUCAAUAGUGAAAGACGGUUUUGCUGUCACUUAUAGAUGGAUCCGCGCCGCAUUAGCUAGUUGGUAAGGUAACGGCUUACCAAGGUAACGAUGCGUAGCCGACCUGAGAGGGUGAUCGGCCACACUGGAACUGAGACACGGUCCAGACUCCUACGGGAGGCAGCAGUAGGGAAUCUUCCGCAAUGGGCGAAAGCCUGACGGAGCAACGCCGCGUGAGUGAUGAAGGUCUUCGGAUCGUAAAACUCUGUUAUUAGGGAAGAACAAAUGUGUAAGUAACUAUGCACGUCUUGACGGUACCUAAUCAGAAAGCCACGGCUAACUACGUG